RNAcentral lists this ribosomal RNA (433 nucleotides) under uncultured bacterium. RNAcentral's name for it is "partial 16S ribosomal RNA". It matches the Rfam family "Bacterial small subunit ribosomal RNA", at positions 29 to 507 of the family's 1533-position model. The record is from RNAcentral.
AACGAACGCUGGCGGCAUGCCUAACACAUGCAAGUCGAACGAGACCUUCGGGUCUAGUGGCGCACGGGUGCGUAACGCGUGGGAACCUGCCCUUAGGUUCGGAAUAACUCCCCGAAAGGGGUGCUAAUACCGGAUAAUGUCUUCGGACCAAAGAUUUAUCGCCAUUGGAUGGGCCCGCGUUGGAUUAGCUAGUUGGUAGGGUAAAAGCCUACCAAGGCGACGAUCCAUAGCUGGUCUGAGAGGAUGAUCAGCCACACUGGGACUGAGACACGGCCCAGACUCCUACGGGAGGCAGCAGUGGGGAAUAUUGGACAAGGGGCGAAAGCCUGAUCCAGCAAUGCCGGGUGAGUGAUGAAGGCCUUAGGGUUGUAAAGCUCUUUUACCCGGGAUGAUAAUGACAGUACCGGGAGAAUAAGCUCCGGCUAACUCCGUG